GAAACGACUGCUAAGACUGGAUAGGAAGAAAUAAGGCAUCUUUUUUCUUUUAAAAGACCUAGUGAUAGGUAUACUUUAGGAGGGGCUUGCGCCAUAUUAGUUAGUUGGUAGGGUAAUGGCCUACCAAGACGAUGAUGUGUAGCUGGACUGAGAGGUUGAACAGCCACAUUGGGACUGAGACACGGCCCAAACUCCUACGGGAGGCAGCAGUAGGGAAUUUUCGGCAAUGGAGGAAACUCUGACCGAGCAACGCCGCGUGAACGACGAAGUACUUUGGUAUGUAAAGUUCUUUUAUCAAGGAAGAAAAGCAAGUGGUGAACCAUUUGUUUGCCGGUACUUGAUGAAUAAGCCCCGGCUAAUUAUGUGCCAGCAGCCGCGGUAAGACAUAAGGGGCAAGUGUUAUCCGGAAUUAUUGGGCGUAAAGGGUGCGUAGGCGGUCUAGUAAGUCAGUGGUGUAAUGGCAACGCUCAACGUUGUCCGGCUAUUGAAACUGCUAAACUUGAGUUAGAUAGAGGCGAGUGGAAUUCCAUGUGUAGCGGUAAAAUGCGUAAAUAUAUGGAGGAACACCAGAGGCGUAGGCGGCUCGCUGGGUCUUAACUGACGCUGAGGCACGAAAGCGUGGGGAGCAAACAGGAUUAGAUACCCUGGUAGUCCACGCCGUAAACGAUGAGUACUAAGUGUCGGGUUAAACCGGUACUGAAGUUAACACAUUAAGUACUCCGCCUGAGUAGUACGUACGCAAGUAUGAAACUUAAAGGAAUUGACGGGACUCCGCACAAGCGGUGGAUCAUGUUGUUUAAUUCGAAGAUGCCCGAAAAACCUUACCAGGUCUUGACAUGUUUUUGCGAAACGGUAGUAAUAUCGUGGAGGUUAUCAGAAACACAGGUGGUGCAUGGUUGUCGUCAGCUCGUGUCGUGAGAUGUUAGGUUAAGUCCUAAAACGAGCGAAACCCUUAUCGUUAGUUGCCAGCACGUUAUGGUGGGGACUUUAACGAGACUGCCAGUGAUAAAUUGGAGGAAGGUGAGGAUCACGUCAAAUCAGCAUGCCCCUUAUGACCCGGGCUACAAACGUGAUACAAUGGCUGUUACAAAGGGUAGCUGAAACGCAAGUUCUUGGCCAAUCCCCAAAAACAGUCUCAGUCCGGAUUGAAGUCUGCAACUCGACUUCAUGAAGUUGGAAUCGCUAGUAAUCGCGAAUCAGCAUGUCGCGGUGAAUACGUUCGCGGGGUUUGUACACCGCCCGUCA
This 1245-nucleotide ribosomal RNA is filed under the name Candidatus Phytoplasma citri. RNAcentral describes it as "bacterial SSU rRNA". It matches the Rfam family "Bacterial small subunit ribosomal RNA", at positions 153 to 1399 of the family's 1533-position model. Lineage: Bacteria; Bacillati; Mycoplasmatota; Mollicutes; Acholeplasmatales; Acholeplasmataceae. The record is from RNAcentral.